GACGAACGCUGGCGGCGUGCCUAAUACAUGCAAGUCGAGCGGACGGAUGGGAGCUUGCUCCCAGACCGUCAGCGGCGGACGGGUGAGUAACACGUGGGCAACCUGCCUGUAAGACUGGGAUAACUCCGGGAAACCGGGGCUAAUACCGGAUAACUCUUUCCCUCACAUGAGGGAAAGCUGAAAGAUGGCAUCUCGCUAUCACUUACAGAUGGGCCCGCGGCGCAUUAGCUAGUUGGUGAGGUAACGGCUCACCAAGGCGACGAUGCGUAGCCGACCUGAGGGGGUGAUCGGCCACACUGGGACUGAGACACGGCCCAGACUCCUACGGGAGGCAGCAGUAGGGAAUCGUCCGCAAUGGACGAAAGUCUGACGGAGCAACGCCGCGUGAGUGAUGAAGGUUUUCGGAUCGUAAAACUCUGUUGUCAGGGAAGAACAAGUACCGGAGUAACUGCCGGUACCUUGACGGUACCUGACCAGAAAGCCACGGCUAACUACGUG
RNAcentral lists this ribosomal RNA (498 nucleotides) under uncultured bacterium. RNAcentral describes it as "partial 16S ribosomal RNA". It matches the Rfam family "Bacterial small subunit ribosomal RNA", at positions 28 to 507 of the family's 1533-position model. The record is from RNAcentral.